UCGUCCACCUGCUGCGGACAGAUGUAGUGCACAUGGGUAUCGACCCCACCUGCGGUCAGGAUGCGGCCUUCACCGGCGAUGAUUUCGGUGCCGGCACCGAUGACGAUGUCGACAUCGGGCUGGGUAUCCGGGUUGCCGGCCUUGCCGAUGGCGGCGAUGCGGCCAUGCUUCAAGCCCACAUCGGCCUUAACGAUACCCCACCAGUCGAGGAUGAUGACGUUGGUGAUCACCGUAUCCAUGACCGCAUCGUCACAACGCUGGCUCUGACCCAUGCCAUCACGA
This 282-nucleotide small RNA is filed under the name Marinobacter sp. X15-166B. Its description in RNAcentral is "5' ureB small RNA". It matches the Rfam family "5' ureB small RNA". The record is from Rfam by way of RNAcentral. Lineage: Bacteria; Pseudomonadati; Pseudomonadota; Gammaproteobacteria; Pseudomonadales; Marinobacteraceae.